UAACGCGUAGGUAACCUGCCUUGUAGCGGGGGAGUAACUAUUGAAACGAUAGCUAAUACCGCAUAACAAUGGGUGACUCAUGUCAUUUAUUUGAAAGGGGCAAAUGCUCCACUACAAGAUGGACCUGCGUUGUAUUAGCUAGUAGGUGAGGUAACGGCUCACCUAGGCGACGAUACAUAGCCGACCUGAGAGGGUGAUCGGCCACACUGGGACUGAGACACGGCCCAG
RNAcentral lists this ribosomal RNA (228 nucleotides) under uncultured bacterium. RNAcentral's name for it is "partial 16S ribosomal RNA". It matches the Rfam family "Bacterial small subunit ribosomal RNA", at positions 111 to 334 of the family's 1533-position model. The record is from RNAcentral.